AUGCAAGACUACUUCGCGGAGAAUCCAACAUAUCCACCGCACCUCUUCCAGAGAAGGUACCGAAUGCGCCAAUCUCUCUUUGUGAAAUUUGUUCAAGCUUGCGAGCCCAAUUGUCGGUAUUUUACUCAAAGAAGAAAUGUCGCGGGCUUGAAGGGAUUUAGUGCA
This 165-nucleotide ribosomal RNA is filed under the name Triticum aestivum (bread wheat). RNAcentral describes it as "partial small subunit ribosomal RNA". The record is from RNAcentral. Lineage: Eukaryota; Viridiplantae; Streptophyta; Magnoliopsida; Poales; Poaceae.